RNAcentral lists this ribosomal RNA (497 nucleotides) under uncultured bacterium. Its description in RNAcentral is "partial 16S ribosomal RNA". It matches the Rfam family "Bacterial small subunit ribosomal RNA", at positions 28 to 507 of the family's 1533-position model. The record is from RNAcentral.
GAUGAACGCUGGCGGCGUGCCUAAUACAUGCAAGUCGAGCGAACGGACGAGAAGCUUGCUUCUCUGAUGUUAGAGGCGGACGGGUGAGUAACACGUGGAUAACCUACCUAUAAGACUGGGAUAACAUCGGAAAACCGGAGCUAAUACCGGAUAAUAUUUUGAACCGCAUGGUUCAAAAGUGAAAGACGGUCUUGCUGUCACUUAUAGAUGGAUCCGCGCUGCAUUAGCUAGUUGGUAAGGUAACGGCUUACCAAGGCAACGAUGCAUAGCCGACCCGAGAGGGUGGAUGAGCAGCUUGUCACUGAGACAGGUUAGAGACACCUACGGGAGGAAGCAGUAGGGAAUCUUACGCGAUGGGCGAAAGCCUGACGGAGCAAAGCCGGGUGAGUGAUGAAGGUCUUCUGAUCGUAAAACUAUGUUAGUAGGAAAGAACAAAUGUUUAAGUAACUGUGCACAUCUUGACGGUACCUAAACAGAAAGCCACGGCUAACUACGUG